UCAACAAACGAGCCGCACAAAAGUUCUCUGAAAAUAGAUGCAGCCCAAAAUUGGUUUCCCAAAAAUAAAGCGGUGAUUUUUUUCAUUUUCCCGCUCCUGCUUCGCCAUCGCCGCCCCUGCUUCUACCAUCGCCAUCACCGCCCCUGCUUCUUCCAGCGCCGCUUCUGAGAUGAAGAACGUAGUCUCAAGGUUAUUCCAUAUUGAUUCGUCCCCCAUCCACCCACACAAUCAGAAGCUUCUAGUUGCCCUAAUUUGAAGAAAUCGUUCAACGAUUCUGCUUAAUUCAAGUUUCCAAGUUAAUACACUUUCUACAUGUGAUUCAAUUUUUGUUUCAAUUUAUUUUCGAUUUAAAAUUCAAGUUCAUAGGGUCGAAUCCAUUCAAGUUUAAUUGGAUUUGUUCCCAUUUCCCCACUCUUCCUUCCCUCACAUUCGUUCUUCUCUGGCGAGCAACAUUGAGGAAAAAUCACGACACCUGAAACAGAGAAAUCAACACCUUAAUCAGCAAGCUAGGGAGAUGUGGCAAACAUGGAAAAGUCCUGGUAUUAUUGCUUGUAGUACUUUGGUAGAAGGUCUUAGGACAUCUGGAAACAUAGAAGAUGAAUUGAGGCUCGAUGUCAAGAUGCUAAAAGAGGGUGUUCUGUUGGAUAGUGUGACUUUUAACUAUCUUCUUCAAGAUGAUACUCGCGUGGGAAGACCUGUUGAAGCUUAUAAAUUAAGGUUGUUGGCUUCUAGCAAAGGUUUAGAUGCUGAUGUUGUGACCUACAACAUAUUAGUUGCUGGAACGAAAUUUCUGUUAGUGAAAAUAAUUAUGUGGCUCCCUGACCAUAGAGCUUUGACAACUGUCACUACUCAUCAUCAUUGAUGAUAGACCUUCAAUGCGGCAAACUUUCUAAAUAAUGAGAACCCUUUAACAUGUUCUCAUCUAGUAUGAAGAAAGGGAUUGCACAGCAAGUGACAUUGGAAAAAAUUUCUGAAGGUCUCGGUGAGCUGUCAGCCUACUUUUCUGUAAGGCUCAAUACUCAUCAGGGGAUAACUGAUGGUCUGUUCAAGCCAGUGCCUGGAACUAAUCAAGAUGAUGGCAUGAUCAGGCUUGCAAGUUUUUAGAAGAAAAUUGGUUUCUGAAGUUUACACUGGUUGUUGCCCAGAAGAAUCAUCAUACGAAGUUUUUCCAGAAAAAAGCUCCAGACAAUGUUCCAACUGGCGAGU
Spinacia oleracea (spinach) is the source of this 1206-nucleotide long non-coding RNA. RefSeq lists it as uncharacterized. NCBI's taxonomy places the organism in Eukaryota, Viridiplantae, Streptophyta, Magnoliopsida, Caryophyllales, Amaranthaceae. The record is from RefSeq and is a predicted model, not a curated record. The transcript has 4 exons.